Molecule: ribosomal RNA, 710 nt
Filed under: uncultured Planctomycetota bacterium
Lineage: Bacteria; Pseudomonadati; Planctomycetota
Description: bacterial SSU rRNA
Rfam family: Bacterial small subunit ribosomal RNA
Source: RNAcentral
GGUUCUUUCGGGGACCUAUUAAAGUGGCGAACGGGUGAGUAACGCAUAGACAACCUGCCCUUGAGACGGGGAUAACUUUCCGAAAGGGGAACUAAUACCCGAUAAUGUCCCGAGUUGUAGGACUUGGGACCAAAGUUAGCCUCUGAUUCAAGCCUGCGCUCAGGGAGGGGUUUAUGUCCUAUUAGCUUGAUGGUGGGGUAACGGCCUACCAUGGCGAUGAUGGGUAGCCGGCCUGAGAGGGUGACCGGCCACACUGGGACUGAGACACUGCCCAGACUCCUACGGGAGGCUGCAGUCGAGAAUCUUCCGCAAUGCGCGCAAGCGUGACGGAGCGACGCCGCGUGGGCGAUGAAGGCCUUCGGGUUGUAAAGCCCUGUUGCCUACUAUGAAAAUCGGGUGGUGAAUAGCCAUCCCGGGUGACAAAGGUAGGAGAGGAAGCACCGGCUAAAUACGUGCCAGCAGCCGCGGUAAUACGUAUGGUGCAAACGUUGUUCGGAAUCACUGGGCAUAAAGGGCGCGUAGGCGGUCUGGCCAGUCCGCAUGUGAAAUCCCUCGGCUCAACCGAGGAACUGCAUCGGAAACUUCCAGACUAGAGUGCAGGAGGGGAGAGCGGAAUUCCUGGUGGAGCGGUGAAAUGCGUAGAUAUCAGGAGGAACGCCGGUGGCGAAAGCGGCUCUCUGGCCUGCAACUGACGCUGAGGCGCGAAAGCU